Long non-coding RNA from Mizuhopecten yessoensis (Yesso scallop), 1138 nucleotides. RefSeq lists it as uncharacterized. The transcript is spliced from 3 exons. The record is from RefSeq and is a predicted model, not a curated record. Lineage: Eukaryota; Metazoa; Mollusca; Bivalvia; Pectinida; Pectinidae.
AAGGAAUGAGCCUACGCUUGAUUAGGUUCGUUGUCUGUUCAUCACUAUUCGUGUUACCUGUCAGCGAUUUGUGUGAUUUCUCUGCAAACUGAAGGAAAAGGUAUUCGCAGUGACCUGUAAUGGUGACACUCAUGGCCCACGUGAUUGGCCUGGGCCUGUUGGUUAUCGGACAGUCCAACGCCAUCUAUAUGGACGCUACACUGACAAACGCGGACUUCCAGCGCAUAUUCAUGUUUGAUAGACAACCCGAAUGCAGUUUGAAGAGGUUGACCGGAUAUAACAAUAGUUUAAAACAGCUAUUGUACCUGUCUGCCAAAUGGAAAGAGAUAUCAAAUGGCAGCCCCUUUUCAUCGCGCAUGCGUGGAUUUACGCGUGUUCGAAAGACCAACAGAAGACAAAGUUCAACAAGAUUAAUGAAGCGGAUACCACUUAUAGGCACCGGAACAAGAGAUUACGCAUGUGAUACCACACGUCUAACAAUACAGACCAUCAUAGAAUAUGUACACAGGGGCACCAUAUGUGGAUUCCAAGUCGGCGGUAUACGUUUUGGAUUAGGAAAAUGAUAUCUUAGACCGCAGCAAUUGAUUGAUUUUUCUUGACCAACGCUGGAUUAUGUUGACAUUUGAAAUGGGAAUUAACAGAAAGACUGCAAUUUGCCAAAAUGAUAUGGUCAUUAUACUGUGUACAAGUUAAGGAAACUAUAUUCCUACUCUUCAGACUAUAUUUAUCCAAAAAUACACAUUCUCAGUAUAUUUCUCCAACAAAAAAAAACAAGUUGUAAGUGGACAGCUAGAAAAGAAAUAUUCCAAGGCACACAGGCUGUUUCAGCGUAAGUGAACAGACAAGCUAAAAUUAUCCCAAUUCUUUAGAUUUCAGAGGUAUAUGUAUAUUUGAGUUGUGAGUGUAAAGAUUGUACACAACUUUUUCGAGGUCUUGCUAUUUCGACUAGCACUAUCCACAGGAAAGUAAUUUCGUUGGGUACAUGUGUGUUACAAAGAUAUUGGGUUAUUUUGUAAUGAAUGUCCUACACCAUUCAUUUUGUGAACAUUGUAUACACUUAUUGGAGUUCAUUGUUAUAUAUAUAUCAAUUUCUACUCAAGUUGGACUCAAUGUAACUACCAAAUGUAACCUGUUUCAU